RNAcentral lists this ribosomal RNA (454 nucleotides) under uncultured bacterium. RNAcentral describes it as "bacterial SSU rRNA". It matches the Rfam family "Bacterial small subunit ribosomal RNA", at positions 340 to 786 of the family's 1533-position model. The record is from RNAcentral.
UACGGGAGGCAGCAGUGGGGAAUAUUGCACAAUGGGCGAAAGCCUGAUGCAGCUAUGCCGCGUGUAUGAAGAAGGCCUUAGGGUUGUAAAGUACUUUCAUCGGGGAGGAAAAAACAAAACUAAUAAUUUUAUUUCUUGACGUUACCCGAAAAAGAAGCACCGGCUAACUCCGUGCCAGCAGCCGCGGUAAUACGGAGGGUGCUAGCGUUAAUCAGAAUUACUGGGCGUAAAGAGCACGUAGGUGGUUUUUUAAGUCAGAUGUGAAAUCCCUGGGCUUAACCUAGGAACUGCAUUUUGAAACUGAAAUACUAGAGUAUCGUAGAGGGAGGUAGAAUUCUAGGUGUAGCGGUGAAAUGCGUAGAUAUCUGGAGGAAUACCUGUGGCGAAAGCGGCCUCUAAACGAAUACUGACACUGAGGUGCGAAAGCGUGGGGAGCAAACAGGGAUUAGAUACC